This 827-nucleotide ribosomal RNA is filed under the name Leuconostoc mesenteroides. RNAcentral's name for it is "bacterial SSU rRNA". It matches the Rfam family "Bacterial small subunit ribosomal RNA", at positions 75 to 888 of the family's 1533-position model. The record is from RNAcentral. Lineage: Bacteria; Bacillati; Bacillota; Bacilli; Lactobacillales; Lactobacillaceae.
GGUGCUUGCACCUUUCAAGUGAGUGGCGAACGGGUGAGUAACACGUGGACAACCUACCUCAAGGCUGGGGAUAACAUUUGGAAACAGAUGCUAAUACCGAAUAAAACUUAGUGUCGCAUGACACAAAGUUAAAAGGCGCUUCGGCGUCACCUAGAGAUGGAUCCGCGGUGCAUUAGUUAGUUGGUGGGGUAAAGGCCUACCAAGACAAUGAUGCAUAGCCGAGUUGAGAGACUGAUCGGCCACAUUGGGACUGAGACACGGCCCAAACUCCUACGGGAGGCUGCAGUAGGGAAUCUUCCACAAUGGGCGAAAGCCUGAUGGAGCAACGCCGCGUGUGUGAUGAAGGCUUUCGGGUCGUAAAGCACUGUUGUAUGGGAAGAACAGCUAGAAUAGGAAAUGAUUUUAGUUUGACGGUACCAUACCAGAAAGGGACGGCUAAAUACGUGCCAGCAGCCGCGGUAAUACGUAUGUCCCGAGCGUUAUCCGGAUUUAUUGGGCGUAAAGCGAGCGCAGACGGUUUAUUAAGUCUGAUGUGAAAGCCCGGAGCUCAACUCCGGAAUGGCAUUGGAAACUGGUUAACUUGAGUGCAGUANAGGUAAGUGGAACUCCAUGUGUAGCGGUGGAAUGCGUAGAUAUAUGGAAGAACACCAGUGGCGAANGCGGCUUACUGGACUGCAACUGACGUUGANGCUCGAAAGUGUGGGUAGCAAACAGGAUUAGAUACCCUGGUAGUCCACACCGUAAACGAUGAACACUNNUGUUAGNAGGUUUCCGCCUCUUANUGCCGAAGCUAACGCAUUAAGUGUUCCGCCUGGGGAGUACGACCG